UCGGUUCGGAAUAGCCCCGGGAAACUGGGUGUAAUACCGAAUACGUCCUUAGGGAGAAAGAUUUAUCGCCGAAAGAUUGGCCCGCGUUAGAUUAGAUAGUUGGUGAGGUAACGGCUCACCAAGUCGACGAUCUAUAGCUGGUUUGAGAGGAUGAUCAGCCACACUGGGACUGAGACACGGCCCAGACUCCUACGGGAGGCAGCAGUGAGGAAUCUUGGACAAUGGGCGCAAGUGAUCCAGCCAUGCCGCGUGAAUGAUGAAGGCCUUAGGGUUGUAAAAUUCUUUCAGCAGGGAAGAUAAUGACGGUACCUGCAAAAGAAGCCCCGGCUAACUCCGUGCCAGCAGCCGCGGUAAUACGGAGGGGGCUAGCGUUGUUCGGAAUUACUGGGCGUAAAGCGCUCGUAGGCGGAUUGGUCAGUCAGAGGUGAAAGCCCAGGGCUCAACCUUGGAAUUGCCUUUGAUACUGCCAGUCUUGAGUUCAGGAGAGGUAA
Molecule: ribosomal RNA, 491 nt
Filed under: uncultured bacterium
Lineage: Bacteria
Description: bacterial SSU rRNA
Rfam family: Bacterial small subunit ribosomal RNA
Source: RNAcentral